This 1098-nucleotide ribosomal RNA is filed under the name Chryseobacterium indologenes. RNAcentral describes it as "bacterial SSU rRNA". It matches the Rfam family "Bacterial small subunit ribosomal RNA", at positions 55 to 1166 of the family's 1533-position model. The record is from RNAcentral. Lineage: Bacteria; Pseudomonadati; Bacteroidota; Flavobacteriia; Flavobacteriales; Weeksellaceae.
AUGCAGCUGAGCGGUAGAGAUCUUUCGGGAUCUUGAGAGCGGCGUACGGGUGCGGAACACGUGUGCAACCUGCCUCAUUCAGGGGGAUAGCCUUUCGAAAGGAAGAUUAAUACCCCAUAAUAUAUUGAGUGGCAUCACCAUAUAUUGAAAACUCCGGUGGAUAGAGAUGGGCACGCGCAAGAUUAGAUAGUUGGUGAGGUAACGGCUCACCAAGUCUACGAUCUUUAGGGGGCCUGAGAGGGUGAUCCCCCACACUGGUACUGAGACACGGACCAGACUCCUACGGGAGGCAGCAGUGAGGAAUAUUGGACAAUGGGUGCGAGCCUGAUCCAGCCAUCCCGCGUGAAGGACGACGGCCCUAUGGGUUGUAAACUUCUUUUGUAUAGGGAUAAACCUACUCUCGUGAGAGUAGCUGAAGGUACUAUACGAAUAAGCACCGGCUAACUCCGUGCCAGCAGCCGCGGUAAUACGGAGGGUGCAAGCGUUAUCCGGAUUUAUUGGGUUUAAAGGGUCCGUAGGCGGAUCUGUAAGUCAGUGGUGAAAUCUCACAGCCAUACUGUGAAACUGCCAUUGAUACUGCAGGUCUUGAGUGUUGUUGAAGUAGCUGGAAUAAGUAGUGUAGCGGUGAAAUGCAUAGAUAUUACUUAGAACACCAAUUGCGAAGGCAGGCAUAGCAACAACUGACGCUGAUGGACGAAAGCGUGGGGAGCGAACAGGAUUAGAUACCCUGGUAGUCCACGCCGUAANCGAUGCUAACUCGUUUUUGGGUUUUCGGAUUCAGAGACUAAGCGAAAGUGAUAAGUUAGCCACCUGGGGAGUACGAACGCAAGUUUGAAACUCAANGGAAUUGACGGGGGCCCGCACAAGCGGUGGAUUAUGUGGUUUAAUUCGAUGAUACGCGAGGAACCUUACCAAGGCCAUAAUGGGAAAUGACAGGCUUAGAAAUAGGCUUUUCUUCGGACAUUUUUCAAGGUGCUGCAUGGUUGUCGUCAGCUCGUGCCGUGAGGUGUUAGGCAUAGUCCUGCAACGAGCGCAACCCCUGUCACUAGUUGCCAUCAUUAAGUUGGGGACUCUAGUGAGACUGCCUACGCAAGUAAA